GAAAUUCAAGACUGAAAGGGGGUAGAAAACCAAGUAGCAGAUCACUUGUCCAGAUUGGAGCCACAAGAAGGGAAUUCUCUUAUUAUACCAAUUUAGGAAACAUUUCCAGAUGAACACAUAUUGAAGGUAAGUCAUGUCCAUAAUGCCCCUUGGUUUGCUGAUAUUGCUAACUAUUUAGCUUGUGGUUUGAUGCCAAUUGGUAAGAAUUAUCAAUAAAGGAGAAAGUUUCUUCACGAUGUGAAGUACUACUUCUGGGAAGAGCGAUAUUUGUUUAAAAGGUGUGCAGAUCAGAUGAUUAGGAGAUACGUGGCAGAAGAUGAAGUAUAAAAGAUUUUAUACCAUUG
This 344-nucleotide long non-coding RNA is filed under the name Gossypium barbadense (sea-island cotton). Its description in RNAcentral is "long non-coding RNA (GBAR_LNC010365)". Lineage: Eukaryota; Viridiplantae; Streptophyta; Magnoliopsida; Malvales; Malvaceae. The record is from RNAcentral.